Musa acuminata subsp. malaccensis (wild Malaysian banana) is the source of this 2353-nucleotide non-coding RNA. Lineage: Eukaryota; Viridiplantae; Streptophyta; Magnoliopsida; Zingiberales; Musaceae. The record is from RefSeq and is a predicted model, not a curated record.
CUCGUUCCUUCCCUUCGUAUCGCGUGCUCGCUGGCUCGCCUAACCGUUCCAUCCAGUUAAUCUUUCCUACGGUGUCCGAAGUGCGAGAAAAGGGGAAGAACCCUAAUUUUUGACGCUUCUCUUCAUGUUUUGCUCCCUGGCGAUCGGAGAUUGCGGAGGAAUUCGAGGUGUUUCUUGGAUACUGGGCUCGCCAUGGCGGAAGCCGCAACCCCUCGUAGAUUCGUGGUAGGAUAUGCGCUCGCCCCCAAGAAGCAGCGGAGCUUCAUCCAGCCCUCGCUCGUCGGUCUCGCACGCGAGCGCGGCAUCGAUCUCGUUCCCAUCGAUACCUCACAGCGCCUUGCUGAUCAGGGUCCCUUCGAUUGCGUGCUCCACAAGCUCCAUGGGGAGGACUGGAAGGCCCAGCUCGAGGAUUUUUCUUCCAGGAACCCAGACGUUCCAAUUGUCGACCCGCCCCUUGCCAUCCGGCGCCUCCACAACCGCAUCUCCAUGCUCCAGGUCGUGUGUGAGCUCGAUAUCCCCCAGGAGAGGGAGACAUUUGGAAUUCCUAGGCAGGUGGUGAUCUAUGAUUCCGCGGCCCUCACAAACUCCGGGGUCGUCGGGGUCCUCCGCUUCCCGGUCAUCGCCAAGCCCCUGAUAGCUGAUGGCAGCGCCAAGUCCCAUAAGAUGUCCCUUGUUUUCUGCCAGGAUAGCCUCCGAAAGCUCAAGCCGCCACUUGUGCUGCAGGAGUUUGUGAAUCAUGGCGGGGUCAUCUUCAAGGUGUUUGUGGUGGGGGAUUACGUGCAGUGCGUGAAGAGGAAAUCCCUUCCGGAUGUCUCCCAAGAGGAAUUGGAGUGCUCUGAGGGGUCUUUCACCUUCUCGCAGGUUUCCAAUAUGACGACGCAGGAUCCAGUGGGGGUUGACUAUUACAUGAAUUUGGAUAAGGCGGAGAUGCCUCCAUUGAGCUUUGUCACGGAGAUAGCAAGAGGUUUGAGGCGGCUCAUGGGAUUGCACCUUUUCAAUUUUGACAUGAUAAGGGAUUUGAAAGCAGGAGGAAAUCAUUACCUUGUGAUUGACAUUAACUACUUUCCUGGGUAUGCAAAAAUGCCAUUCUAUGAGAAAAUUUUAACUGACUUCCUCUGGAACAUCAUUCAUGAGAACAAUGAGCAUGAUGAUGUGGACUCGGCUGUUAACAGUCACUAUAAAGAGAGCAAGCUCUUGAUUGAUAGUCAUUGACAAGAUUGCACAAGAUAUAGAGAAUGUCGGAUGAGGGUUUUAAUGCUGCCAUCCUUCUAGAAAUUUAGUUUUCCUGAUUACUUGAAAGUCCUGCAUGUAGAGUAUGUGCGGAACUAGACUUUUAUCAUACAAGUUGCAAAUGCCUUAUUCUGGUGCCUAAGCUGGACCUUUGACUUCGAUUCUAAUGCCAAUACAGUGAGGAUUCCUUUCUUUUAGUUAUCUUCAAAUAUGUGAGCAUUGAAUUUGUAAAUUUUCUUUUAUCCAUUCCCCUAUAUGUUGAGACAAAAUGUACCUAAUGUAGUGUUGAAUGAUGCUAAGAACUUGUUACAUUCCAUAUUUUGAUAUUUCUGUUUCUAACACUUAACAUUUUGCAAGAGAACAUUGGUCAUCUAUGUGCACAAUAUUGAUUUAUCCUUGGUGACCACCUGCCAAACUAAAGCUUUUACUUCCAUAGUUAUCCUUUUGCUGAACAGAAAAUUCAUGGUUUUGAAUGAUUGUAGGCAGCAAUUGAUUGGUCUGGAAGCUGCCUAGGUUUGAUACUGGGCAAUAUCUUAAUUGAUCCUAUGUUCUGCUUGUAGUAACCCCCCAUCACAGAAGCAGCACUAAUGGUGGCACUCUGCUCCAUGGUCCAUAGAUCAUUGCUUCCAUCUGCAAUGACCGCAGAUGAUAAUGAUGCAUGUCCUAAAUGUUAGAGAAGAGAAAAAAUUAAAGGAAUGAUGAGAAAGAGAAGGAAAACAAGUUUUCAUUUGCUGUAAUACAUCUGCAUAACCAAGGUUGUAAAAAUUGAAAGUCAUAGGUGGGUUUUUAAUUCAUAUUUGGUGCGUUUACAUUAUAAUGUAGUGAAUAUGAGAACAAAUAUCAAAUGGCACUACUUUAAAAAAGAAACUUUACUUGGCUUUGAAAUUUUUUUAUUUCUAGUACAAAUAGAAGCACUAAUGUGAGAUACGACAAACUAGAGGAUGCAAAGAUUCAAGGUACUGGGACUAAAAUGAAUGAUAAAGAGAAGAAAAGGAUAAAUAAUGAGAAUACUUUGAUAGGACACAUAUGAUUCAUAGGAAAACCAUAUCGACUAUGAAAAUAUAAGCAGAACAAGUUCAACCGCAUACCAGUUCUUGGUUGAUAGUGGACAAUGAUGGCACCC